Molecule: non-coding RNA, 59 nt
Organism: Triticum aestivum (bread wheat)
Lineage: Eukaryota; Viridiplantae; Streptophyta; Magnoliopsida; Poales; Poaceae
Source: Rfam
UAGCUCAGAGGAUUAGAGCACGUGGCUACGAACCACAGUGUCGGGGGUUCAAAUCCCUU